RNAcentral lists this small RNA (502 nucleotides) under Histoplasma capsulatum. Its description in RNAcentral is "hypothetical RNA". RNAcentral also lists the same sequence under 1 other name. Lineage: Eukaryota; Fungi; Ascomycota; Eurotiomycetes; Onygenales; Ajellomycetaceae. The record is from RNAcentral.
ACUCACUGCUGUCAAUCUACUCACUGCUGUUAAUCUAUCUAUUACUGUUAAUCUAUCUACUACUGCUAAUCUAUCACUGCUAAUCUAUUACUGCUGUCAAUCUAUCUACUAUUAUCAAUCUAUCUAUUACUGUUAAUCUAUCUAUCACUGUUAAUCUAUCUACUACUGUUAAUUCAUUGCUACUAAUCUAUUGCUGCUAAUUUAUUAUUGUUAAUCUAUCACUGCUAAUCUAUCACUGCUAAUCUAUUACUGCUAAUCUAUUACUGUUAAUUUAUCACUGCUGCUAAUCUAUCUACUGCUGUCAAUCUAUCACUGCCAAUCUAUAUAGAGUAAAUCAUGAUCUCAUUUGAUCUCAUUUUGUAAAAUAAAAUUAAAUGGAAUUGAAAUUACUAAUUUAUUAGUAAAACAUGAUCUGAGACUAGAUUUAUAAUAUAAACAGUGUAAAGUGACUAAUUUACUAAAUACUAUAUGAGAUCAGAAUUAAGAUAUCUAAUAAUGGAAC